Molecule: ribosomal RNA, 460 nt
Filed under: uncultured bacterium
Lineage: Bacteria
Description: partial 16S ribosomal RNA
Rfam family: Bacterial small subunit ribosomal RNA
Source: RNAcentral
CCUACGGGUGGCAGCAGUGAGGAAUAUUGGUCAAUGGACGGAAGUCUGAACCAGCCAUGUCGCGUGCAGGAUGACGGCCCUAUGAGUUGUAAACUUCUUUUGUAUGGGGAUAAAAUGUUCCACGUGUGGGAUUUUGUAUGUACCAUAUGAAUAAGGAUCGGCUAACUCCGUGCCAGCAGCCGCGGUAAUACGGAGAAUCCGAGCGUUAUCCGGAUUUAUUGGGUUUAAAGGGAGCGUAGGUGGAUUGUUAAGUCAGUUGUGAAAGUUUGAGGCUCAACCGAAAAAGUGCAGUUGAAACUGGCAGUCUUGAGUACAGUAGAGGCGGGCGGAAUGUGUGGUGUAGCGGUGAAAUGCUUAGAUAUCACGAAGAACGCCGAUUGCGAAGGCAGUUCACUGGACUGCAACUGACACUGAGGCUCGAAAGUGUGGGUAUCAAACAGGAUUAGAUACCCGAGUAGUC